This 754-nucleotide ribosomal RNA is filed under the name uncultured bacterium. RNAcentral describes it as "bacterial SSU rRNA". It matches the Rfam family "Bacterial small subunit ribosomal RNA", at positions 8 to 755 of the family's 1533-position model. The record is from RNAcentral.
AGAGUUGAUCAUGGCUCAGAACGAACGCUGGCGGCGUGCCUAACACAUGCAAGUCGAACGCGAAAGACAGUAAUGUCGAGUAGAGUGGCGCACGGGUGCAUAACACGUAACUGACCUGUCCUCGAAACUGGGAUAACCAUUCGAAAGGAUGGCUAAUACUGGAUAAGCCCACGGGUUUGGACCUGGGGGAAAAGGUACGGGACUAUUCGUAGCCGUACAUUUGAGGAGGGGGUUGCGGCCAUCAGCUAGUUGGCGGGUAAAAGCCCACCAAGCGAAGACGGGUAGCUGGUCUGAGAGGGUGAUCAGCCACACUGGAACUGAGACACGGUCCAGACUCCUACAGGAGGCAGCAGUGGGGAAUCUUGCGCAAUGGGAGCAAUCCUGACGCAGCAACGCCGCGUGGGUGAUGAAGGUCUUCGGAUCGUAAAGCCCUGUCGGAGGGGAAGAUGCUUGUGCAUGUAAUAGUAUGCACAGGUGACGGUACCCUCAAAGGAGCACCGGCUAACUCUGUGCCAGCAGCCGCGGUAAUACAGAGGGUGCAAGCGUUGUUCGGAAUUAUUGGGCGUAAAGGGAGUGUAGGCGGCUAGGAAAGUCUUCUGUGAAAUCUACGGGCUUACCCUGUAACGUGCAGAGGAAACUAUCUGGCUAGAGUGUCGGAGAGGAUAGGGGAAUACCCAGUGUAGAGGUGAAAUUCGUAGAGAUGGGUGGAACACAGUGGCGAGCGCUGUCUGGCUGACACUGACGCUGAGACUCG